This is a long non-coding RNA of Agrilus planipennis (emerald ash borer), 684 nucleotides long. RefSeq lists it as uncharacterized. The record is from RefSeq and is a predicted model, not a curated record. The transcript is spliced from 2 exons. NCBI's taxonomy places the organism in Eukaryota, Metazoa, Arthropoda, Insecta, Coleoptera, Buprestidae.
AACAAACAAUAAGAUCUCUUUAUUGCAAGUUAAAAUUUGUUUCAUCAAAAUAUUAAAACUAAGUUAGUAACAGUGAUGGAUAUUUUGAAACUUAAAUAUAUACUUAAAAGAAAGUUUUUUCACUUUUAGAAAUUUGAAAGGGUUAUCAGAAUGAUUAGCAUAAUCUAGUCUUCUUGAAAAUAAUAUAAACAUUAUUACUAUUAUUUAAAAAAUAAAAGGAAAGAAAUAAUUACAAUAACAAUCGUUCAACUACUUUAUACGUGGUAAGUAGCUAAAAAAUGAAUUAUUAAUGCGAUGCAGUAGUCCCACGUCGUAUUAGUUAUUAAUAGUAAUCUGGGAUAAAAAAUGCCCAGUCAUUUUGAAAAUGACGUCAUGGGGAUAAAUACGAGAUAAAGAGUCGUGCAGUAAGCAAUUGGCUUAAUUUACAGAAUAAUGAAACAACAUUUUAUCAUUUAGAAUGCAGGACCGUUCGCAUAAAUAGAUGUACACCAACUCCGGCGUUCGCAGUGUUAAUUGUGGUUUAGUUCUGUAGGUUCUGUAUAGUGUAUAGUAGUAGAUUAAUCGCUUUUUAAUACCGGUAUCAGUAUUUAUUGAAAGCUAUUUUCAUAUUGCCUUAUAUGUAAUAAGGGAAAAGUUCGCAGGCGAGCCCUUUCCACAAUUUAUUUUGAAAAUUUUUUAGGUAAG